UAAUCGUUUCCGCGACACACAUCGGUCCCGUUCCGCGAUUCGACGAUCGUCCCUCGCCCGUAGGUACCGGUUCGCGAGAAAGGGUGGAGCGUCCGCUCUCGGAAGGGAUGAUAAUACAAUUUAGGGGUAAGGGCUCAAUUACGUCUGCGUAUAUAAAAUCCAGAUUUCUGCUUGACGGCUUACUGUCGAAACCGCAACACACCGUCACGGAGAACCCGUCUGCAGCGUACCUAUCGUUCCUGUGCAGCAUCGACGACGAACCACUCGAACACAACAACUCGACAUCCGCAUCACCGGCCGUGCCAUCUCUGAUUGCAUUCGAUCUCCGAUCCGAAGAUUUUUGUUGUCCGUCCGCGUACUAACGAGACUCAAUCAUGUCUUCAAGCUGCACUUCGAAAACUACCGACUACUACUAUCAGAUGAGGCAGAAGAACAACGAGGCUGCUAGAAACAGCCGUUUCAAGAAGAAGGUUGCCGAAAUCGAAAUAUCCGCUCAAAAGCGCAAGUUGGAGGUGACAUACGUGCAGUUGAAAAAAGAAAUCAAACGCAUACAAAUCGUGAAAGCUUCUUAAACAUCAAUCAGGCUUUUUCCGUGAUAAUGACUGCAAUAUAAAUAAAAACAUUUUUUCAACUGGAAAUUUUAAGUAAAAUAAAUGAUGCAAAUGGAUUCUGUUGAAUUUCUAGUCAAAUACAUUGUACAUCACUCAAUAGUUUGACUGUUAUUUCUACAGGAAUGAAAUACAACAAAUAUUUUUAUUACCACUAUCUAUUAAUAUGUAAAAGACAAUAUUUUCAGGAUAAAAAUGUACUUUUUUCUUUUUAAACUUAUAUAUUUUUAUUUUUAUUUUUAUUUUUAUUAUUAUUAUAAUAUUAUUUUUUUCCUAUUAUUAUGAUUCUCAUUUUUUUUUUUUUU
This is a long non-coding RNA of Myzus persicae (green peach aphid), 913 nucleotides long. RefSeq lists it as uncharacterized. NCBI's taxonomy places the organism in Eukaryota, Metazoa, Arthropoda, Insecta, Hemiptera, Aphididae. The transcript is spliced from 3 exons. The record is from RefSeq and is a predicted model, not a curated record.